UGCCAGCCGCCGCGGUAAUACGGAGGGGGUUAGCGUUGUUCGGAAUUACUGGGCGUAAAGCGCACGUAGGCGGACUGUUAAGUUAGAGGUGAAAUCCCGGGGCUCAACCUCGGAACUGCCUUUGAUACUGGAAGUCUUGAGUUCGAGAGAGGUGAGUGGAAUACCGAGUGUAGAGGUGAAAUUCGUAGAUAUUCGGUGGAACACCAGUGGCGAAGGCGGCUCACUGGCUCGAUACUGACGCUGAGGUGCGAAAGCGUGGGGAGCAAACAGGAUUAGAUA
This 279-nucleotide ribosomal RNA is filed under the name uncultured bacterium. Its description in RNAcentral is "partial 16S ribosomal RNA". It matches the Rfam family "Bacterial small subunit ribosomal RNA", at positions 506 to 784 of the family's 1533-position model. The record is from RNAcentral.